This 254-nucleotide ribosomal RNA is filed under the name uncultured bacterium. Its description in RNAcentral is "partial 16S ribosomal RNA". It matches the Rfam family "Bacterial small subunit ribosomal RNA", at positions 524 to 776 of the family's 1533-position model. The record is from RNAcentral.
UACGGGGGGAGCAAGCGUUGUUCGGAUUUACUGGGCGUAAAGGGCGCGUAGGCGGUCGUGACAAGUCACUUGUGAAAUCUCCGGGCUUAACUCGGAACGGUCAAGUGAUACUGUCGGACUAGAGUACAGAAGGGGCAACUGGAAUUCUCGGUGUAGCGGUGAAAUGCGUAGAUAUCGAGAGGAACACCUGCGGCGAAGGCGGGUUGCUGGGCUGAUACUGACGCUGAGACGCGAAAGCGUGGGGAGCGAACAGG